This 196-nucleotide ribosomal RNA is filed under the name uncultured Vibrio sp. RNAcentral describes it as "partial 16S ribosomal RNA". It matches the Rfam family "Bacterial small subunit ribosomal RNA", at positions 335 to 523 of the family's 1533-position model. Lineage: Bacteria; Pseudomonadati; Pseudomonadota; Gammaproteobacteria; Vibrionales; Vibrionaceae. The record is from RNAcentral.
ACCCCUACGGGGGGCAGCAGUGGGGAAUAUUGCACAAUGGGCGCAAGCCUGAUGCAGCCAUGCCGCGUGUAUGAAGAAGGCCUUCGGGUUGUAAAGUACUUUCAGCAGUGAGGAAGGUAUCGUAGUUAAUAGCUGCGGUAUUUGACGUUAGCUGCAGAAGAAGCACCGGCUAACUCCGUGCCAGCAGCCGCGGUAA